RNAcentral lists this ribosomal RNA (253 nucleotides) under uncultured bacterium. RNAcentral's name for it is "partial 16S ribosomal RNA". It matches the Rfam family "Bacterial small subunit ribosomal RNA", at positions 524 to 776 of the family's 1533-position model. The record is from RNAcentral.
UACGUAGGGGGCAAGCGUUGUCCGGAAUCAUUGGGCGUAAAGAGCGUGUAGGCGGCUUGGUAAGUCCGCUGUGAAAUCCCCGAGCUCAACUUGGGAAUUGCAGUGGAUACUGGCAAGCUGGAGUAUGGUAGAGGAAGGUGGAAUUCCCGGUGUAGCAGUGAAAUGCGUAGAGAUCGGGAGGAACACCAGUGGCGAAGGCGGCCUUCUGGACCAGUACUGACGCUCAUGCACGAAAGCGUGGGGAGCAAACAGG